GUUAAUUACGUAGAACCGAAUGCAAAGUUUUCGGACAACUUUUCUAGCAGUAAGGGAACGACCAUUUGACUUCAAAUCGGGGGGGGGGGGGGUAUCGAUGGAAAUAUUUCGAACCCCAAUUGGAUAACAAAAACGUUUUACAGAUGAUACAAAAAUAUUCUAAAUCAAGAGUUUCCCCAUACAUUAUAGUGUUAAAUGUUGAAAAAAAAAUUGAUUACCAGCAUCAAUAAAAAAAAUCCCGGAAUAAAACGUUUGCGCGGAA
This 262-nucleotide long non-coding RNA is filed under the name Mytilus galloprovincialis (Mediterranean mussel). Lineage: Eukaryota; Metazoa; Mollusca; Bivalvia; Mytilida; Mytilidae. The record is from RNAcentral.